GAAAUGCGAUAAGUAAUGUGAAUUGCAGAAUUCAGUGAAUCAUCGAAUCUUUGAACGCACAUCGCGCCCGCCAGUAUUCUGGCGGGCAUGCCUGUCCGAGCGUCAUUUCAACCAUCAAGCCCCCGGGCUUGUGUUGGGGACCUGCGGCUGCCCGCAGGCCCUGAAAACCAGUGGCGGGCUCGCUGUCACACCGAGCGUAGUAGCAAUCACCUCGCUCAGUGCGUGCUGCGGGUUCCGGCCGUUAAACAGCCUUACAAAACCCAAGGUUGACCUCGGAUCAGGUAGGAAGACCCGCUGAACUUAAGC
This 306-nucleotide unclassified non-coding RNA is filed under the name plant metagenome. RNAcentral describes it as "partial contains 5.8S ribosomal RNA, internal transcribed spacer 2, and large subunit ribosomal RNA". The stretch from base 1 to 105 matches the Rfam family "5.8S ribosomal RNA", at positions 50 to 154 of the family's 154-position model. The record is from RNAcentral.